RNAcentral lists this long non-coding RNA (352 nucleotides) under Sinocyclocheilus grahami. Its description in RNAcentral is "lncRNA (ENSSGRG00000039224.1)". Lineage: Eukaryota; Metazoa; Chordata; Actinopteri; Cypriniformes; Cyprinidae. The record is from RNAcentral.
GUGGCUGAAUCACAUGGCAAUGACUGGAUCAGGAGUAAUGAGAGGCCAUGAGCUCAAAGAUCUGCUGUUUACAUCGCACAGCUUCAGAAUACAGCCGAACAUGAGAUCAAAUUGUGGAUAUAUAUAUUUUUUUUCACACUGAUCAUCUUGGAUUUAUCGAUCCUUGUCUCUCAUAUACGCUUUGCUUGUCUGGUAAACGCGAGAAAAUUCCUUUGCUGCAACACAGCUGUAACCUUCAAGUAUCUGGAGCAAGAGAUCAGUCGUUCUCUCUGUCCUCCUCUGAAAGGGCCUUUACCUUCAGCUACACCAAUCCCACCAGCCCCACAGCCUAGAGAGCUGCUCUCCAUUGAGG